UUAUCCCCGCCGCCAGCGCUGACCGCUUGCUUUUCACUUGGUUUAGUUUUGCUCCCUCCCUUCCGCGGGCUCCGGCUCCUGGAGGUGCGUGACCUCCAAACCCGGGCUCCCAUAGAAUCCGGGCUGCUGGGGGAGGCGGGGGAAUUACCCCAAUAAAUACCAAACACGCCCUCGCCUGCCAAAAUAGAGACGGGAACCUCACAUCAUUCCUUUCUAACGACCGUGCUUUACAGACUUUUCCAGUCAAGUGGCUUGCUCCUCAGAACUGCCUGAAGUAACACCCAGCAUAUUCCAGUCCUUUGGGAGGCUCCAGGAGAAGCAAAGCACUUCCUCACCAUUUUAAUGAAAACCUAAGGCCUUCUGCAUGCCUUUUUAUGGACUUCUGAGAGAAGAAGAAAGAGUUUUGGGUUA
Long non-coding RNA from Serinus canaria (Common canary), 411 nucleotides. RefSeq lists it as uncharacterized. NCBI's taxonomy places the organism in Eukaryota, Metazoa, Chordata, Aves, Passeriformes, Fringillidae. The record is from RefSeq and is a predicted model, not a curated record. The transcript is spliced from 2 exons.